UUGAUUAAUUACAAUUUUAUUCGCCAGGGGACUACGAGCGUAAGCUUAAAACCCAAAGGACUUGGCGGUGCCCUACACCUCCUAGAGGAGCCUGUUCUAUAAUCGAUGAUCCACGUUAUACCUCACCGUUUCUUGCCAAACCCGCCUAUAUACCGCCGUCUCCAACUUACCCUAUGAAGGAUUCACAGUAGGUUUAAAGAUCACUCAUCAGAACGUCAGGUCAAGGUGUAGCGAAUGAAACGGGAAGCAAUGGGCUACAUUUUCUAUCUUAGAUCACACGGAUAAUCAAUAUGAAACCUGAUUAUGAAGGAGGAUUUAGCAGUAAAAAGAAACCAACAUGUUCUUUUUAAGUCGGACCUAGGGCGCGUACACACCGCCCGUCACCCUCUUCAACUCAUUUCACUAUAUUUCAUAAUAAAAUUACUAGAGAUAAGAAGAGGCAAGUCGUAACAUGGUAAGUAUACCGGAAGGUGUACUUGGAAC
RNAcentral lists this ribosomal RNA (483 nucleotides) under Oreolalax omeimontis (Omei lazy toad). RNAcentral describes it as "partial 12S ribosomal RNA". It matches the Rfam family "Bacterial small subunit ribosomal RNA", at positions 848 to 1524 of the family's 1533-position model. The record is from RNAcentral. Lineage: Eukaryota; Metazoa; Chordata; Amphibia; Anura; Megophryidae.